Molecule: ribosomal RNA, 435 nt
Filed under: uncultured bacterium
Lineage: Bacteria
Description: partial 16S ribosomal RNA
Rfam family: Bacterial small subunit ribosomal RNA
Source: RNAcentral
AGCGAACGCUGGCGGCAGGCUUAACACAUGCAAGUCGAGCGGGCGUAGCAAUACGUCAGCGGCAGACGGGUGAGUAACGCGUGGGAACGUACCUUUUGGUUCGGAACAACACAGGGAAAAUUGUGCUAAUACCGGAUAAGCCCUUACGGGGAAAGAUUUAUCGCCGAAAGAUCGGCCCGCGUCUGAUUAGCUAGUUGGUGAGGUAACGGCUCACCAAGGCGACGAUCAGUAGCUGGUCUGAGAGGAUGAUCAGCCACAUUGGGACUGAGACACGGCCCAAACUCCUACGGGAGGCAGCAGUGGGGAAUAUUGGACAAUGGGGGCAACCCUGAUCCAGCCAUGCCGCGUGAGUGAUGAAGGCCCUAGGGUUGUAAAGCUCUUUUGUGCGGGAAGAUAAUGACGGUACCGCAAGAAUAAGCCCCGGCUAACUUCGUG